GAUGAACGCUGGCGGCGUGCUUAACACAUGCAAGUCGAACGGAAAGGCUCCUGCUUGCAGGGGUACUCGAGUGGCGAACGGGUGAGUAACACGUGGGUGAUCUGCCCUGCACUUCGGGAUAAGCCUGGGAAACUGGGUCUAAUACCGGAUAGGACCACAUUUUGGAUGGUGUGGUGGAAAGUUUUUCGGUGUGGGAUGAGCUCGCGGCCUAUCAGCUUGUUGGUGGGGUAAUGGCCUACCAAGGCGUCGACGGGUAGCCGGCCUGAGAGGGUGUACGGCCACAUUGGGACUGAGAUACGGCCCAGACUCCUGCGGGAGGCAGCAGUGGGGAAUAUUGCACAAUGGGCGCAAGCCUGAUGCAGCGACGCCGCGUGGGGGAUGACGGCCUUCGGGUUGUAAACUCCUUUCGCUAGGGACGAAGCGUUUUUGUGACGGUACCUGGAGAAGAAGCACCGGCUAACUACGUG
Molecule: ribosomal RNA, 467 nt
Filed under: uncultured bacterium
Lineage: Bacteria
Description: partial 16S ribosomal RNA
Rfam family: Bacterial small subunit ribosomal RNA
Source: RNAcentral